This 253-nucleotide ribosomal RNA is filed under the name uncultured bacterium. RNAcentral describes it as "partial 16S ribosomal RNA". It matches the Rfam family "Bacterial small subunit ribosomal RNA", at positions 524 to 776 of the family's 1533-position model. The record is from RNAcentral.
UACGUAGGGUGCAAGCGUUAAUCGGAAUUACUGGGCGUAAAGCGUGCGCAGGCGGCUUUGCAAGACAGAUGUGAAAUCCCCGGGCUUAACCUGGGAACGGCAUCCGAUACUGGAGGGCUUGAAUUCGGGAGAGGGAUGCAGAAUUCCAGGUGUAGCGGUGAAAUGCGUAGAUAUCUGGAGGAAUACCGGUGGCGAAGGCGGCAUCCUGGACCGAGAUUGACGCUGAGGAGCGAAAGCUAGGGGAGCAAACGGG